UUCAAAUAGCUUAUAAAGAGUAUAACAUUGAAGAUGUUAGGGAGGUUAAUAAAUCUUUGAAUA
This 63-nucleotide transfer RNA is filed under the name Sphecapatoclea sp. Its description in RNAcentral is "tRNA-Phe". Lineage: Eukaryota; Metazoa; Arthropoda; Insecta; Diptera; Sarcophagidae. The record is from RNAcentral.